Molecule: long non-coding RNA, 541 nt
Organism: Jatropha curcas
Lineage: Eukaryota; Viridiplantae; Streptophyta; Magnoliopsida; Malpighiales; Euphorbiaceae
Source: RefSeq, a predicted model, not a curated record
UCCUUUUCCCUCCAAAUUCAACAUGAGCUGGAGCUCUGAUUCAAUGGCUCAUUUUCUUUCUUUUCUUCGGUUGUAGUUUAUAUUUUCAGCGUCUCAAUGGAGUUCUGCUUCAAUGUACCGUAGACUAGCAUAAAACGGAAUUGUGAAGAUUGGGAACUACAUGGAAAGGAAGCAGAAGAGAAGAUUGCUAGGCAAAGAAAGUUGGAAGGUUGGAUCCAAACGAAUAAUACCCCACUACAGGUCUGCAUAUGAUAAUUUGUUCACCACAUUUCCAUGUUUUAAUUUGGGCAAUCUUCUUUUCUGGUGCAUGCAUAUAGCAAUGUUUGUUUUUUAAAAUUCAUUAGUAGGAAUCCUAUAUUGCAAAUAAAAUACAAAAUUAAGAUAGAUAACAGAGGGAUUUGUACAACUUCAGGGGUAAAAUAAAUAUCAGAGGUUUUGGACUAGUCUGGUUGAACGAUCUAUUAGGUUAACUUGCUUAAGUUACUUUCUAUUGCAGUUUAAAAUAGCAUAAGGCAGGGAAAGCAACAAAAAAAAAAAAAAA